This 448-nucleotide ribosomal RNA is filed under the name uncultured bacterium. Its description in RNAcentral is "partial 16S ribosomal RNA". It matches the Rfam family "Bacterial small subunit ribosomal RNA", at positions 29 to 523 of the family's 1533-position model. The record is from RNAcentral.
AACGAACGCUGGCGGCAGGCUUAACACAUGCAAGUCGAACGCAUCCUUCGGGGUGAGUGGCAGACGGGUGAGUAACGCGUGGGAACGUGCCCUUCAGUUCGGGAUAACCCAGGGAAACUUGGGCUAAUACCGGAUACGUCGAGAGCAGAAAGACUUAUCGCUGAAGGAUCGGCCCGCGUCUGAUUAGCUAGUUGGUGGGGUAAUGGCCCACCAAGGCGACGAUCAGUAGCUGGUCUGAGAGGAUGAUCAGCCACAUUGGGACUGAGACACGGCCCAAACUCCUACGGGAGGCAGCAGUGGGGAAUAUUGGACAAUGGGCGCAAGCCUGAUCCAGCCAUGCCGCGUGAGUGAUGAAGGCCUUAGGGUUGUAAAGCUCUUUCGUCCGGGACGAUAAUGACGGUACCGGAAGAAGAAGCCCCGGCUAACUUCGUGCCAGCCGCCGCGGUAA